Molecule: long non-coding RNA, 273 nt
Filed under: Pongo abelii (Sumatran orangutan)
Lineage: Eukaryota; Metazoa; Chordata; Mammalia; Primates; Hominidae
Description: lncRNA (ENSPPYG00000035693.1)
Source: RNAcentral
CAUCACAGAACAGGCAGAGGCAGUUCAGGGGGGAUUCUGGUUGCAUUUUCCCAGCUCUGAAGUCUGUCAGCCUCUUCAGAUGUCACUUGCUCUGUGGUAAGGAAGUGUAGUCGGCAGCUGGUGCCGUGGCAAGCAGAGAAAGGAAGUUCCCCAAGACAAAAACAUCUCGGCAGAAACAAUAAGAGUGAUAUUACCGGAGGGAGGAGCCAAGAUGGCCGAAUAGGAACAGCUCCGGUCUACAGCUCCCAGCGCGAGCGACGCAGAAGACGGGUG